UCACCACCUGAAACACACAGAAAGAGACAUGAAGUUUAAUGUAACUCUGCAGACAACCUGUCACAAUGCAGUGUGAGGCACUAUAUGGCCAAAAAUAUGUGGACUACGGAGUGCAACACUUGUAUACAGUUGUUGAAGAUCUCAUUUCAAAACUAUGGGGAAUUCCUAUGCUGUUGUAACAGCCUCCACUCCUCUGGGAAAACUUUCCAUAAGAUUUUGAAACCUCAGCCACAUAGUGAAGCAUCAGUCCACAAGACCCAACAUCAUCCUGAUUCAGUUCACCCAAAAGGUGUUGGAUGGCAUUGAGGUUGAGGCUCUCUGCUGUGCACGCAAGUUCAUCCACACCAAAUUCAGACAAACUUUAUGGCACUUGCCUAAUGCAAAGGGGCGCUGUCGUGUUGAAACACAAAGGGCCUUUUCCCAAGUGUUGCCACACCACUGGAAGCAUCAAAAAUAUCAGUGUGCUGCAACAUUAGGAUUCCCCUUCACUGGGACCAGGCAGCCUAUAGGGACAGGGGUGUCAACAUACUUGUCAUGGAGUGUACUCAAGUAACUUUAGUAAAAUCAAACAUAAUGAUUGAUUGCGUUGUAGCAGCCUUAAAAAUGAGACUAUAAUUGCAAAUUUGACAUUGACUGAAACCGUUUAGUAGCAUAGUUAAUGUUCCAAACUAUUUUGCAACAGUAAUAUGGUAAAAAAAAAAAUAAAAAAAAAAUACAUGUGUCAGCAAAGCACUGAGAACUCAGAAAUAGCAGUUUGUGCUUUGCAUGACUCACAAUAAAUACCCCUGUAUCACUCAAAAUACCAUGACAUUUUCAUGCCCGGCAACAUACAUUAGCGCUGGGCUCUCCAGACACCUGGGUGUAAAGUGAGCAUUUUUUUGUCGGAGCUACAAAGAUAGUUUCUUGUCAGAGGGAGAGUGCAGUGUCUCAUUCAGUGGUUGAGCACUCUUAGGUUACAAAGCUAUUACUACUCCAUUGUCCUCUGCUAAAUGUGCACCCAGCAGACAAAACACUGCACUUAACCUGCAAAAAAUAUGAGGCAAAUCUUUUUUUUUUAAUAUAAAUAUAACUUAACUUCCUAGAAACCAGGCUCACCAAAGAAACAAGCACUUGGUGUUUCAAAAAAGCCCUUUUAAUGAAGCAAGAGCGUCAUGUAAAUGGAAAAACUGCAAAUCCAAAGUUUGCACAAGUGACAAGAGAUAGUUUGUCUGCCCAAGUGUCAUUUAGCAAAUCACUGAAACCAUACCAGCGUCAGUUGAACAGCUGACCAGGCAGAAUAAGCACACAGGAGGAAUCAAUGAAGCACCAUAAAAAGCAGCUUUUCCAGUUAGAACAAGAAUUUCAACCUCUCUAACAAGACGUUUGAAGCUGUUCUGCUAAACAUCAAGAGCGUAUCUGAAUCUUAAAACAAAAUCUCCUUCAACAAAACCUAGUUAGUAUGCAGAGGCGCUAAAGCAAACUUUGUCCUGAUAACAAUCUUGCAGGAGAUUGGGUCCAACGGAUGUGUUGCCACUAGAGGUCUCAAUGGACCUGCAAUUAUGAACGUGGUCUGAAAUGGACCUGAUAGCCUGAACCUAAUAACAUCUAACAGACUUCCCCUCUAAAAAGACCAUGACAAGACAUGCUGGCCUUUUCUCUUUUUCACUCACACACACACAUCUCAGUGCAGCUCUGAACAUGACAUAGCUCAGAGGGCAAAAAUUAACAAUUUGUGGCUUUUAUUCUUCUGUCCAAGUUACAUUUUUGUCACGUGGUAAUAAUGCAGCAAGCAGGGAUCAUAAAAAAAAAAAAAUACGAUUUAAGGGUAAGCUGCGUUUUCACCAGGUAUACUGUCACACAAUUUUACCCCUAAGGUAAACACCAGGACAGGAUACAUGAAUCUUGCUGCAUUUAAAAAGUUGCUUUUUGGAAUGUGACUUGUCCCACAAACACAAAAAGGCCGUUUUCAAAAAUGGUCCCUGCUCUUAAUUACACCACCAUGCAACAAUAACAUAACAGACCAAAAAAAAAAAGGCCACAAAUAGUUCACUGUGAUAGAUUGCACAUGUCAAGCAACAGCAGACUUAAAGGUCAGAAGUCAAUAUAAAAAACCCUGUGGUGUGCCUUAGAGAAAGUUACACAAACUGUGCAAUUGCUGAGAUACACACAAAAAUCAUUAGACUUGUUAUGCUGCUUAUACUUUCCAUUAACUUCACCUCAAGCACCAUCAUUACCUAUCUUCAUCUUCUAAAAGCCUCUGUGUUACCUACUUGUACAUCUGGCCAAAUCUUCAUCAGAUAAAAUUCACUUUGUAAUGUUUAUUAAUACAAUACACAAGCAGUGAUAAAAAUAACACGGGCUUUCCCCUAGAUAUUCUAAAAGGCACAUUGUGUACUGUAUUACUAGGCUUACUUACAAUAUAGGAUUUGACUCAUGUUUCUGUUUCAAAGCAUGACACGUGUAUUCUGUAAUGGACAUAAAUGACUGCAGCAGAUAUUUGUUGUUAGGUGUGCAAAGGUAGAGACACAGGCGCAACAAUGUCAUCCAGUCAGACACACCUGACAGUGGCAGGAGGGUGGGCAAACAGCAAGGACCAGUCAGUGCAGUAUUUUAAAAUUUUUCCUCUGUUCUUUAAAAUGGUGUGCAAGCGCCCCACUCUUUUAAAGCAUGACUACAUUUAUGCCUCAACACAAAAAAUGUCUUAAAUUUUUAGUUUACAUUUAGCACCAAUUUUACAAAUAUUUCUAGCCUCUCAAAUACUUCGCACAGCUUUUGCAAAAUGUGUCGGACCCUAUGGAUGAUAAAUUAUAGUUUAAAAAAUUGUUAACUUGGUAACUAAUGCUGUUCAAAUGGUGUAAGACACUUUACAGAGUUUAAAGCAUUGCACGAGAAGUCAACUAAUGAUACUCAAGACAUUUGACAGACCACAAGUUACACUGUGGUUAAUUUAAAACUUUACAUCAGGGGUGUGUAACUGUCAGAUCUGCGGGGCAUGACAAAAUCUCCCUGUAUUAGUCCAGGGCUAAUAGGGUCCCUAUCUCCUGUGCAAGGGAACACAGUGACAACUAUGGGAAGUAACACCUAAAAAAAAAAAUCACUUGUGCAAUAACAAAAAAUUUAACGGCCGUUUUAAAAUAUCCAUUCAUAGCUUGUCACAUAAAAAUGCCACACAUUUGCUGGUUUCAGCUCCUCAAACACGAGGAUUUGCAGCUUUUGUACGUUUUAUAUCUUUGUAAAUGAAUCACCUGUUUUAGCUGUUCAAAAAAAAAAAAAAAAAAAAGCAUAAGACAUGAAUGGGCUCUACAGGGAUGCAGGUUGAAAAGGGUGUGUGUCAUCACUCCAAACAUUAAAAAAAUAAAUUUAAAGAUCAACACAUAAAUCAAUACUAAAAUUGUUUGCUGUGGCCCUAAUUGCACGUGAUAAUUACAGACUACAGCUAAGCAGGCAGCUGAUGGAUUUUCCUGUUGAUACCCCCCUCCCUCCGUAUCUGCAUAAUACAAAGUAGGAAAACAUGGGAAACACAAUGUACACUAACUUGGAUUCACAUGCUGAAAUUCUGCUCAGUCAUUUCCUUAUCUUCCAUGUCAUGUGUAGUUGCCUUUUUUUUUAAGCUCAUUUACAGAGACUGAGGCAGUGUUGUGUAAAUUGAACUGAAGUAGCAAUUAUGAAGCAGCUAUUUUACCUUAUCCAUGCUCCAAAAUUCCUUAAUAAAAAUACACAAAGGAACCAACCAGGCAGCAUGCCCAGACAUGUCACCUUCCCCUGCUCAGCCUUUUUAACCCAUUCCUGCGACAUUUGCUCCUCACACAAUGGCCUCAAAGAGUCACCUGACCCCGAGGUUGAAGGUCAAGUAACCUCCUACACCCCGUCGGGUACAUGGACGUGGACACGACAACCCAUCACCUCCCCAGAAGUGGUCUGGGCUGACCUCUUGCCUGUGUGACACCAUCUUCUGCCUGUAUAAGCACACAAUCUAAAGGGAGAUCUACACUGACGUCCUGAGCUGUUUCAAAAAUAAAUUAAAAGGGAAAAAAAUCCCUGAAUGGCAAACACAUUUAUCCACAUGAAAAGAUCCAUGCAAAUUUGAGUUUCUCAUUGUGUUUGUAACGCUUUCUAUAUUUAGCCACUGGGACAUGGAAGGAAACUACUCCAAGUUAAAUAUCUGCACACACAACCGCCUGUUUUGAAAGCACCAACAGUUUAAAAACAUCACCGAUUUAUUCUACCUACAUCAUGUGUUUGCCCAUCAAUCCAGAAGACAAUGAAUGAAAGAGCAGACCCACUGUUUCUUUUCGUUUCACUUUGGCAUGCAGGCAACAUACACACAAUUACAAAUCCAUCACUUUAAAAAUUUAAGCCAGAUAAACACCAGGUAUUAGGCGAGCCAAAUCAUUGUUGUCCUGUGUUUGGCAAGACAAUACACACAGUGCAAAUAUACUAUGUUCACUGUGCCACAACUUUAUGAGGUGGAAUAAAAUGUUUCACCAGCUACCGGGGCAGCAUGUACACAGCAGGGGAUCUCUACAGUAGUUCAAGCAAAUACAAAACCAAUUCAUACAUUAUGACGAAGCAACCGGCCUAUAUAAUAAAGGCAACACAAAAAUGAUCUUACACACAAAAAAAAUUGGAGAGCAAGGUGUGUAAGUCAAAGACACACAGGAGGUGCUGCUCAGUGUAGACCAGAGAUGCUACCUAUGCAGAACUGCUUUGUCCCAUACAACCCCCAGUACUGUAAUGGUAUGUGUUAAUCCUAGAAAAACCUGUUACAUUUGCACAGCCAGCAAAACAUGUCCUGCAUAGCACAGGCAGAGGGACUGGGAUUCCCUGGGAGCUACAGUCGUAUAAUAUCAAAUGAAUUACAGAAAACUCUGGAAACAUGUGAAAACACAUACCUGGCGCUGGCGAGACAAUAAACCCGUUUCACAGGACAACACUAGCAGAUAUGUGAGAGUGACCUCUGAGUCAUUCUUGCACUCCACAAGUAUACACCACCCCCUCCAUUUACUGUCAGGUGUGAGUGUGACAGACGGGCUGUUAAGGUACACAGUAUCUAUACUAAUGAAUAAAAUUAUGCGAAACACCCAACUGGAAAUUCUUCAAAAUUAAUACAUGAUGUACACAAUGUAUAAAACUGGUUUGGCAAGAGCGCAACAAUCAUCUAACUUGUGAAGCUAUGUUUAAUAUGAUUCGUUGUGAAUUAGUUGGCAAGAGCUGGUCUUACAACAGGACAGUCUUCAAAAGUUUAAUAGUUAAUUAUCCCACAUUUUAAGGCUCCCACCAUGACCAACAGCAGUGUCUGUCAUCCGAACACACCAGUUUGUCCACAAUGUGUCUGGUGAAAUAUUUAAUCCACACACACACACACACACACACACACACACACACACACA
Long non-coding RNA from Epinephelus fuscoguttatus (brown-marbled grouper), 5369 nucleotides. RefSeq lists it as uncharacterized. Lineage: Eukaryota; Metazoa; Chordata; Actinopteri; Perciformes; Serranidae. The transcript is spliced from 2 exons. The record is from RefSeq and is a predicted model, not a curated record.